UUAAAUGAAUUGACGGGGCCGCACAAGCGGUGGAGCAUGUGGUUAAUUCGAAGCAACGCGAAGAACCUUACCAGGUCUUGACAUCCCCUGACAACCCGAGAGAUCGGGCGUUCCCCCUUCGGGGGGACAGGGUGACAGGUGGUGCAUGGUUGUCGUCAGCUCGUGUCGUGAGAUGUUGGGUUAAGUCCCGCAACGAGCGCAACCCUCGACCUUAGUUGCCAGCAUUCAGUUGGGCACUCUAAGGUGACUGCCGGCUAAAAGUCGGAGGAAGGUGGGGAUGACGUCAAAUCAUCAUGCCCCUUAUGACCUGGGCUACACACGUGCUACAAUGGGCGGUACAAAGGGUCGCGAACCCGCGAGGGGGAGCCAAUCCCAAAAAGCCGCUCUCAGUUCGGAUUGCAGGCUGCAACUCGCCUGCAUGAAGCCGGAAUCGCUAGUAAUCGCGGAUCAGCAUGCCGCGGUGAAUACGUUCCCGGGCCUU
This 481-nucleotide ribosomal RNA is filed under the name uncultured Anoxybacillus sp. Its description in RNAcentral is "bacterial SSU rRNA". It matches the Rfam family "Bacterial small subunit ribosomal RNA", at positions 901 to 1382 of the family's 1533-position model. Lineage: Bacteria; Bacillati; Bacillota; Bacilli; Caryophanales; Anoxybacillaceae. The record is from RNAcentral.